RNAcentral lists this ribosomal RNA (253 nucleotides) under uncultured bacterium. Its description in RNAcentral is "partial 16S ribosomal RNA". It matches the Rfam family "Bacterial small subunit ribosomal RNA", at positions 524 to 776 of the family's 1533-position model. The record is from RNAcentral.
UACGUAGGGGGCUAGCGUUGCUCGGAAUUACUGGGCGUAAAGGGCGCGUAGGCGGCCUGUUAAGUCGAACGUGAAAUCCCCGGGCUCAACCCGGGAACUGCGUCCGAUACUGGCAGGCUUGAAUCCGGGAGAGGGAUGCGGAAUUCCAGGUGUAGCGGUGAAAUGCGUAGAUAUCUGGAGGAACACCGGUGGCGAAGGCGGCAUCCUGGACCGGUAUUGACGCUGAGGCGCGAAAGCCAGGGGAGCAAACGGG